This 1315-nucleotide ribosomal RNA is filed under the name uncultured Alphaproteobacteria bacterium. RNAcentral describes it as "uncultured alpha proteobacterium 16S ribosomal RNA". It matches the Rfam family "Bacterial small subunit ribosomal RNA", at positions 33 to 1395 of the family's 1533-position model. Lineage: Bacteria; Pseudomonadati; Pseudomonadota; Alphaproteobacteria. The record is from RNAcentral.
ACGCUGGCGGCACGCCUAACACAUGCAAGUCGAACGAAGUAGCAAUACUUAGUGGCAGACGGGUGAGUAACAUGUAGGUAUCUGCCCUUUGGCCUGGAAUAACACGAGGAAACUUGUGCUAAUACCGGAUAAGUCUUUACGGAGAAAGCUUUAUGCACCAUUGGAUGAGCCUGCACUUGAUUAGUUUGUUGGUGGGGUAAUGGCCUACCAAGACUGUGAUCAAUAGCUGAUUUGAGAGGAUGAUCAGCCACAUUGGGACUGAGACACGGCCCAAACUCCUACGGGAGGCAGCAGUGGGGAAUCUUGCACAAUGGAGGAAACUCUGAUGCAGCGAUGCCGCGUGAGUGAAGAAGGCCUUUGGGUUGUAAAGCUCUUUCGUCGGGGAAGAAAAUGACUGUACCCGAAUAAGAAGGUCCGGCUAACUUCGUGCCAGCAGCCGCGGUAAUACGAAGGGACCUAGCGUAGUUCGGAAUUACUGGGCUUAAAGAGUUCGUAGGUGGUUGAAAAAGUUGGUGGUGAAAUCCCAGAGCUUAACUCUGGAACUGCCAUCAAAACUUUUCAGCUAGAGUUUGAUAGAGGAAAGCAGAAUUUCUAGUGUAGAGGUGAAAUUCGUAGAUAUUAGAAAGAAUACCAAUUGCGAAGGCAGCUUUCUGGAUCAUUACUGACGCUGAGGAACGAAAGCAUGGGUAGCGAAGAGGAUUAGAUACCCUCGUAGUCCAUGCCGUAAACGAUGUGUGUUAGACGUUGGAAAUUUAUUUUCAGUGUCGCAGCGAAAGCAAUAAACACACCGCCUGGGGAGUACGACCGCAAGGUUAAAACUCAAAUGAAUUGACGGGGACCCGCACAAGUAGUGGAGCAUGUGGUUUAAUUCGAAGAUACGCGCAGAACCUUACCAACACUUGACAUGUUCGUCGCGACUUUAAGAGAUUAAAGUUUUCGGUUCGGCCGGACGAAACACAGGUGCUGCAUGGCUGUCGUCAGCUCGUGUCGUGAGAUGUUGGGUUAAGUCCCGCAACGAGCGCAACCCUCACUUUUAGUUGCCAUCAUUAAGUUGGGCACUCUGAAAGAACUGCCAGUGAUAAGCUGGAGGAAGGUGGGGAUGACGUCAAGUCCUCAUGGCCCUUACGUGUUGGGCUACACACGUGCUACAAUGGUAUCUACAACAGGAAGCAAAACGGCGACGUUAAGCAAAUCCCUAAAAGAUACCUCAGUUCGGAUUGCACUCUGCAACUCGAGUGCAUGAAGCUGGAAUUACUAGUAAUCGUGGAUCAGCGUGCCACGGUGAAUGCGUUCCCGGGUCUUGUACUCACCGCCC